UAGGGAAUCUUCGGCAAUGGGGGCAACCCUGACCGAGCAACGCCGCGUGAGUGAAGAAGGUUUUCGGGUCGUAAAGCUCUGUUGUAAGAGAAGAACGUGUGUGAGAGUGGAAAGUUCACACAGUGACGGUAACUUACCAGAAAGGGACGGCUAACUACGUGCCAG
RNAcentral lists this ribosomal RNA (165 nucleotides) under uncultured bacterium. Its description in RNAcentral is "partial 16S rRNA". It matches the Rfam family "Bacterial small subunit ribosomal RNA", at positions 355 to 511 of the family's 1533-position model. The record is from RNAcentral.